Molecule: ribosomal RNA, 253 nt
Filed under: uncultured bacterium
Lineage: Bacteria
Description: partial 16S ribosomal RNA
Rfam family: Bacterial small subunit ribosomal RNA
Source: RNAcentral
UACAGAGGGUGCGAGCGCUAAUCGGAAUUACUGGGCGUAAAGCGUGCGUAGACGGUUAUUUAAGUCGGGUGUGAAAGCCCCGGGCUCAACCUGGGAAUUGCAUUCGAGACUGAAUAGCUAGGGUACGGUAGAGGGAAGCGGAAUUUCCGGUGUAGCGGUGAAAUGCGUAGAUACCGGAAGGAACAUCAGUGGCGAAAGCGGCUUCCUGGACCAGUACCGACGUUCAGGCACGAAAGCGUGGGGAGCAAACAGG